GACGAACGCUGGCGGCGUGCUUAACACAUGCAAGUCGAACGGAAAGGCCCUGCUUGCAGGGUGCUCGAGUGGCGAACGGGUGAGUAACACGUGGGUGAUCUGCCCCUUACUUUGGGAUAAGCCUGGGAAACUGGGUCUAAUACUGGAUAGGACCAUGCUGUAGGUAGUGUGGUGGAAAGAUUAGUUUCGGUAAGGGAUGAGCUCGCGGCCUAUCAGCUUGUUGGUGGGGUAAUGGCCUACCAAGGCGUCGACGGGUAGCCGGCCUGAGAGGGUGGACGGCCACAUUGGGACUGAGAUACGGCCCAGACUCCUACGGGAGGCAGCAGUGGGGAAUAUUGCACAAUGGGCGCAAGCCUGAUGCAGCGACGCCGCGUGGGGGAUGACGGCCUUCGGGUUGUAAACUCCUUUCAGCCAUGACGAAGCCCUUGUGGUGACGGUAGUGGUAGAAGAAGCACCGGCUAACUACGUG
RNAcentral lists this ribosomal RNA (469 nucleotides) under uncultured bacterium. RNAcentral describes it as "partial 16S ribosomal RNA". It matches the Rfam family "Bacterial small subunit ribosomal RNA", at positions 28 to 507 of the family's 1533-position model. The record is from RNAcentral.